Molecule: long non-coding RNA, 932 nt
Organism: Dendronephthya gigantea
Lineage: Eukaryota; Metazoa; Cnidaria; Anthozoa; Malacalcyonacea; Nephtheidae
Exons: 4
Source: RefSeq, a predicted model, not a curated record
UCAACGAGCAUUUCCGAUCAGUAAUUUUUACGCAAGGAGAAUUUUUUCCUCAAAACGCAAGCGUCGUUUCGCGAUUGAAGUCGAAUAUUGCUGCUUCGGUUGCGAUCUUGCAAUGUUCAACCACAGCACUAGAGCCGGCGGUGCAGGUAUAAAAGAUUAAAGAUAUCAUGCACAUGCAGAUAUGAUAUGAUGGUGACAAUCACCGCGAUGUAUUGCAACACGAUUUGAUGGCGUCAUCGAGUGUCUGCAGUGUGAGGUACUUCAAAUAUAUACGUCAUUAUAAUACGUCGGAUCAGUCAAUCAAAAUAGCAUCAUAUGGGGACCGAUUCAGUGGAGCGUACGGUCCAAAUCCAUAUAAGCCCCGUCCCGUGGAAUGACAGUGUCACACUGUCAGACGCAUUUGGAAACCACGCGUAGUUCUCGACUUUCAGAAUAAAAGAAGAAAACGCAUUCUAAAAAGAUAAGUACGUAGCCACACAUCAUGAAAAAUACCCAAGUAUUUUUACUGAUCGCCGUAAUAUCUUUGAUCGGGACCUCAGUUGAAGGUUUCUUGUUUCCUCAAGCGAAACCUUGUGUUGAUAAAGGUAAAUUUUGCCUGCCAAUAUUUUGUCGUCGUGAGGGGUAUGAAAAGGAGUGUUCUAAAACGUGUGGAGCAUGUGUCGGGGGCGACAACUGCAAGGCUUUGGUUACUAAAUGCAUCAUUAGUCAUGCCUUUAAUGUUUGUGCUAAUUCGGGAUGUGUUCUUGGAGUGGCAACAAAUCUGAUUAGUUGCCCAUUAACAUCUCCCUAUCGAAAAGAGAAACUUGGAAAGGUUGUUGCGGAUUUGGGAAAAGCUUGUGCCAUUGUCAAAGCAUUGCAAGGAUAAAAAUAUAUUUUUCAUUUGUUAUUUUGUAUUUUAAAUAAAAAAUUAAGUCAAAACCGUACUCUCGACU